RNAcentral lists this ribosomal RNA (465 nucleotides) under uncultured bacterium. Its description in RNAcentral is "partial 16S ribosomal RNA". It matches the Rfam family "Bacterial small subunit ribosomal RNA", at positions 338 to 795 of the family's 1533-position model. The record is from RNAcentral.
CCUACGGGAGGCAGCAGUGGGGAAUAUUGCGCAAUGGGCGAAAGCCUGACGCAGCGACGCCGCGUGAGGGAUGAAGGUCUUCGGAUCGUAAACCUCUUUCAGCAGGGAAGAACGGUCACUGUGCUAAUCAGCAGUGAAUUGACGGUACCUGCAAAGGAAGCACCGGCUAACUCCGUGCCAGCAGCCGCGGUAAUACGGAGGGUGCGAGCGUUAAUCGGAAUUACUGGGCGUAAAGCGCUCGUAGGCGGUAUGUCAAGUCAAGGGUGAAAUCCCCGCGCUCAACGUGGGAACUGCCUUUGAAACUGGCAAACUGGAGUGUGUGAGAGGAUAGUGGAAUUCCAGGUGUAGGAGUGAAAUGCGUAGAUAUCUGGAGGAACAUCAGUGGCGAAGGCGACUAUCUGGCACAUAACUGACGCUGAGGAGCGAAAGCGUGGGUAGCAAACAGGAUUAGAUACCCUGGUAGUC